CGAGUCGGCCGGGUGAUCGCAGCGCAAGCUGAGGAAAGUCCGGACUCCACAGGGCAGGGUGGUGGGUAACACCCACCCGGGGUGACCCGCGGGACAGUGCCACAGAGAACAGACCGCCGCCGGUGACGGCGGUAAGGGUGAAACGGCGGUGUAAGAGACCACCAGCACCCCAGGUGACUGGGGUGGCUAGGCAAACCCCACCCGGAGCAAGACCAAGAAGGGCCCCCGUCUUCGGACGAGAGCCCGCGGACGCCGUUCGAGCGCUGCCCGCGCGAGGCGUCCGGGUAGGUUGCACGCCCACGGGCGAAGGCGGCUGGCAACAGCCGUCGCAGAUGGAUGAUCACCGGCCCUCGGGCCACAGAAUCCGGCUUACAGGCCGGCUCGUCCC
Molecule: RNase P RNA, 388 nt
Filed under: Micropruina glycogenica
Lineage: Bacteria; Bacillati; Actinomycetota; Actinomycetes; Propionibacteriales; Nocardioidaceae
Description: Bacterial RNase P class A
Rfam family: Bacterial RNase P class A
About the family: Ribonuclease P (RNase P) is a ubiquitous endoribonuclease, found in archaea, bacteria and eukarya as well as chloroplasts and mitochondria. Its best characterised activity is the generation of mature 5'-ends of tRNAs by cleaving the 5'-leader elements of precursor-tRNAs. Cellular RNase Ps are ribonucleoproteins.
Source: Rfam by way of RNAcentral